RNAcentral lists this unclassified non-coding RNA (337 nucleotides) under Hevea brasiliensis (rubber tree). The record is from RNAcentral. Lineage: Eukaryota; Viridiplantae; Streptophyta; Magnoliopsida; Malpighiales; Euphorbiaceae.
GAUUAAGCCAAUAGCAAAACAAGGUGCAAUGGAUCUGGAGUCUGGUGAUGGUAGUGGUUAUUACCCUAUGGUACUAGUUCAGAUCCCUAUGUGUAAUGAAAAAGAGGUUUAUCAGCAAUCCAUUGGUGCUGUGUGUUGUUUGGAGUGGCCUAAAUCAAGAUUGUUGAUUCAAGUUCUUGAUGAUUCAGAUGAUCCAGUUACUCAGACAUUGAUCAAUGAAGAGGUUCGUAAGUGGCAGAAGGAAGGUGCCAAUAUCAUAUACAGGCAUAGAGUGAUCAGAGAGGGUUAUAAAGCUGGUAAUCUUAAGUCAGCUAUGAAUUGCAGCUAUGUCAAAGAC